GAAGAAGCACCGGCUAACUCCGUGCCAGCAGCCGCGGUAAUACGGAGGGUGCAAGCGUUAAUCGGAAUUACUGGGCGUAAAGCGCACGCAGGCGGUCUGUCAAGUCGGAUGUGAAAUCCCCGGGCUCAACCUGGGAACUGCAUUCGAAACUGGCAGGCUUGAGUCUUGUAGAGGGGGGUAGAAUUCCAGGUGUAGCGGUGAAAUGCGUAGAGAUCUGGAGGAAUACCGGUGGCGAAGGCGGCCCCCUGGACAAAGACUGACGCUCAGGUGCGAAAGCGUGGGGAGCAAACAGGAUUAGAUACCCU
This 305-nucleotide ribosomal RNA is filed under the name Salmonella enterica subsp. enterica serovar Minnesota. Its description in RNAcentral is "bacterial SSU rRNA". It matches the Rfam family "Bacterial small subunit ribosomal RNA", at positions 484 to 788 of the family's 1533-position model. Lineage: Bacteria; Pseudomonadati; Pseudomonadota; Gammaproteobacteria; Enterobacterales; Enterobacteriaceae. The record is from RNAcentral.